This 468-nucleotide ribosomal RNA is filed under the name uncultured bacterium. RNAcentral's name for it is "partial 16S ribosomal RNA". It matches the Rfam family "Bacterial small subunit ribosomal RNA", at positions 28 to 507 of the family's 1533-position model. The record is from RNAcentral.
GACGAACGCUGGCGGCGUGCUUAACACAUGCAAGUCGAACGGAAAGGCCCUGCUUUUGUUGGGUGCUCGAGUGGCGAACGGGUGAGUAACACGUGAGUAACCUGCCCUUGACUUUGGGAUAACUUCAGGAAACUGGGGCUAAUACCGGAUAGGAGCUCCUGCUGCAUGGUGGGGGUUGGAAAGUUUCGGCGGUUGGGGAUGGACUCGCGGGUUAUCAGCUUGUUGGUGGGGUAGUGGCUUACCAAGGCUUUGACGGGUAGCCGGCCUGAGAGGGUGACCGGCCACAUUGGGACUGAGAUACGGCCCAGACUCCUACGGGAGGCAGCAGUGGGGAAUAUUGCACAAUGGGCGGAAGCCUGAUGCAGCAACGCCGCGUGCGGGAUGACGGCCUUCGGGUUGUAAACCGCUUUCGCCUGUGACGAAGCGUGAGUGACGGUAAUGGGUAAAGAAGCACCGGCUAACUACGUG